AAGAAAUGUGGCAUGCCCGUUGUGAUUACUCUGAUGAUUGAUGUAUUAUUAUUAUUAUUUUAAUUGAUUUUGGGAAACGGGGUGUUACAAUUAU
This 94-nucleotide microRNA precursor is filed under the name Medicago truncatula (barrel medic). RNAcentral describes it as "MIR2617 microRNA precursor family". It matches the Rfam family "MIR2617 microRNA precursor family". The record is from Rfam by way of RNAcentral. Lineage: Eukaryota; Viridiplantae; Streptophyta; Magnoliopsida; Fabales; Fabaceae.